This is a long non-coding RNA of Suricata suricatta (meerkat), 4791 nucleotides long. RefSeq lists it as uncharacterized. The transcript has 2 exons. Lineage: Eukaryota; Metazoa; Chordata; Mammalia; Carnivora; Herpestidae. The record is from RefSeq and is a predicted model, not a curated record.
GUAACAUUGUCUACCCUACAUUUAACAGGAAGAAGAUGGCUAUUUUUCAGAUUAGACGCUUCCUUCUGUCCUCACCUCCAUGAAACAUCAAAUCAGAGUAUAGGAAAAAUGCAACAGUAUAUAUCAAGAGAAGCCUGAGACUGGAUUCUGGUUGGAAGAAGAAAAUGCUUCUAAUUAGCAGGACCUUGGCUACCCUGAGAGCCACGAACGCCAGCAGGUCCGACUGAGCCAGGAUGUCCAGUGCGACCAUCUUUGCCAAUAGGGCCAGUAGGACCAGCAGGGCCCUACGGAGGAAGGAUACCGGGUCUCAGUCAGUGAAAAUCCCACAAGGAAACAGAAACCUGGGACUCACUGCCUGCCACAAACUCUAUUUCAGAGAUAAAUGUUUCUUAGAUUGACCUACCCUAGGACCAGCAGGACCCACAGAGCCAGGAGCACCUUGAUCGCCAUGCUGGCCCUUUAAAGAGAAAAGAGGAAAAUCAUACUUUCAGAACACGUGUCGACAAAUAGGUCUUUUUAAAUUGAAUGGAAAACUUUAGUUUCAAUGGGCCCUAGAUUGAGAAAAUUGAAAAUGUAAAAUGGGGCUCUUUUCUCCCAUUAAGUCUAUUAUAUUCAAUUAUAUUUUUUUCUACAAGCUAUUUCAGCAGUGCAAUAUUAGUCAUUCCUCUAAUUAUAUUUAUUUUAAGUGAGGUUGAAGGACAUUGUUGCCUAGAGAUUUUAAUAUAUGUAUAUUUCAAUCUCCCUUAACCCUCACCUUUUUGUGUUGGGAUAUAAUGGCAUUAUCUCUGCGAGAUGGCGUCAGUCAGAGAAUGGGAAAUGAAUAUGAUGUAGGACAUUUUAGAACAAUAGCAUUGAAAAUUUGAGGAAGAUCUUUUAAGAUCUGUAUAUAUGUGUGACAUCCACAUUUUACUUACAGCAAGACCAGGAAGACCUUGCAGUCCAUUGUGUCCCUUCAAGCCAGGAAGACCUCUGGGCCCCUUGUCACCAGGCUCUCCCUUAUCACCUCGGGUACCUUGUGGGCCCUGUAAAGAAAAAUAAGGGCAGAUAGGACAUUUAGCUUCUUUAGAAAAUGAUCAGUUCCCACAAAUAUUGCUUAAUCUGUUUACAAGGCAACUCAGGACAUGCAAAGGUUUAAAAGGCAUGUGGGUGUUACUCCUAUUUAUUCUCUUAAUCUGCUUUAGUUGAGCUUUCUUAAAGUGGCUAGAUUUUUGUAAUUAUUUAAAACAAAUAAACAAGCAGAAGGGAUUUGAAAUAGAAGAGACUGAGAAGUUAGUUGUAGUAAUUCUCAACAUGGACUAAAUUUUUAAAAAAAAUAUGAAGUCUAGCCUGUAUAUUAUUUAUUUUCUUCACGGACAGUCUGUUUAUUUGUAAAGAAAUCAUCACCAUGUACGUACAGUAGGACCCCUUGGACCAACAGCACCAACGGGACCAACAACACCGGCAGGACCCUGAGAGUUGGAAAAGAAAACCAUAACUCAUUGGCCAAGCCCAAGACUGUCCUCCCCAAGCCCCCACAGUUCCCAAGGAGGGGCAGGUCAGAAGGGAAGGCUACAAAGAUGAUGGCACAAAGGGACUGGUAUUCACAAACUUACAGGUUCACCACGGUUUCCAUGUUUGCCAGUGGGACCCACGGGGCCGUGAGGACCGGGUGCACCCACAGCGCCAACUGGACCAAUGUUGCCAGGGUAACCGCGUUCUCCCUACCAAAGGCAAAGUGAAGUUUAGCAUCAAACUGGCCCGUGGUUUAGUCACGUUUCAAUUGGAGAAAGACAAAGAGGUGUACUGACCUUGUGUCCAGGCUGACCAUCGCGGCCUGGGGGACCAUCGUUCCCAGGGUUGCCCUGCGAAGACACCACACCAGUGAAUGCACUUAGUGAGGCUCUUUAACCCACCAUCCCCUGUGGUCUAGCUCAUCUGUCUUAAUCACUCCCAGAGCUCACUAGUGAUACCAUUUUCAGAUUGUUAAAAGACAGGAGCAAGAACUUGCCAACCUAGUUGUUCUAGAGGUGUUUUGGCUAUUUUGGCCCACUCAGAAGCAUGCCAUUUAAAUACCCAUCCAUCCCCCAGUCCAAGUUAUUUUUUAUAUUUUCAAUACCAGGAGUGGUCAGUACAUGUUGAUUUAAUGGAGAAACACCAUCUUGUUCCAAAACUUGGAACAAGAGGAACUCAGCUCAGGAUAUGAUGUUGCACAUAAUGAAAUACAGCUAGGUGUUCCAGCCAUAUUUGUGUAGCUAGUAUAUAGUCUAAGAUGACAAAACAAGUGUCCUACUCACAUCCCGACCAGCUUCGCCAGGAGCACCAUUGACUCCAGGUGCACCCACAGCACCAGGGGGACCCCGAGCCCCAGGCGGACCAGAGAUGCCGAGAGGUCCGGGUUCACCCUAGAGACAGAGAACAAAAAACAACAUCCCUCUUGGUGGAUCGAGUGCAAAUCUCACCCUUCCAAAACAACCCUGGCUAGGAGACUCCAGUUUGCAGGGAGAAGCUACCGUGGAAGUGAAUGGGUCACACAAAAUGGUAUCCUUGCCCUCAUCCUACACACUCAGAUGGUCAGCUUUAUCUAAUUUUGGAAGGUUACUCUGUUCAGGUGAGCCUAGUUACAACCAACAUCCCAAAUGAAAUGAAUUCAUAAAGUUGAGAGAGCUUAUGGAGAUGAGCUGAGCCCUGGCUGCUGUCAUGUAUAAGGUUUAAUGGAAUGAUUCAGAACUUUCAGAGCUUCAUUCUUCCAACAGGAUAAAUGAUGCCAGCAUUUCACACUGCAGAGGAGUAAAUGCAAUUAGAGCUUAUAUAGUUCUUAAGCAUGUAAAAAGAACAAAAAUCAUUCUGCAUAAUAUUAAGCUGUAUCUUUAUAGCGUGUGUCUAAGUAAGGUGGUAUUAAAGCUUCUUAGAUAAGUGACAUGUGAUCUGUAUAAAGAAAAUGCCAUGAAUAAAAAUUCUUAAGUGGAGUUAUUCAGUGAUCAAUCUGUCACAUCUGAAGUGGCAGCUUUUAAAAUCUUUUAUUAUGUUAAUGAGAAUAAGAAUGGUGUCAAACACUUACCACAGAUCCAGAAACACCUGGUAGACCACGUUCACCUCUAGAGCCUGGGAGACCCAGAAUACCAGGAGCACCAAGAAGACCUUGAGGACCAGCGGUGCCAGGAGGGCCCUGAACAAGAGGAAAAAUACUAUUACUAAUAAGCCCAUAGGUGACCAAAUACAGGUUGGCUUAAGGAUUGUGAGAAUGAGCUAUCCUCAGGUUAGAAAAAAGCUAGUGACCUUCCAUUAGUAGGGUGUAUCCUUGGAUAUCUUUUCUCUAGUGAAGACAGUAAGUUUCAUGUGGGCAAGUACAUCUCUUUGAACCUGGUUCCUCCCUGACACCAACGGAACAACAUUAAAGAAUAUGUGUUUGAGAUUAAUGAAGACAUCUGGGGUAAUGAAAUAGAGUUUUUAUGGAAUCUAUGCCAAGAUGUGAAUUUUUACCUUGGCCUCUCACUGAACCAGGUCUAAUAAGGGCACAUUUCAGAGUAACAAGAAUACUAAACAACGCAUGUUUAAAGAAUAGGUAGCUUGCUGAGAUUUGAUUAAUUUACAAUAGGAUGACCAUGGCAAUGGGAUUCUGUUCUAAUCCCAGUACCUGUAAGGUGCCAUUUUGAUACAAGAGUGUAUUGUCAUCCUCAUCUCAUGCCUUCUGAGCAACUGCUGAAGCUAUGACACCUCAGUAGCUGUUGGACAGACUUCCUGGCUCAGCUCAGCUCUACUUGAAAGCCUGCAACUCUCAUCAACAAAUGUAUGCCACUCGAAGAUCUGUGUAAGGCUUUAUUUUAAUUCAACACAAGGUAUUAAGAAAGAGGAGCUUGAAAUCACUUACAGCAGUACCAGGCUCUCCAGAGGGACCCUUCUCACCAGCAAAGCCAGGGGGACCAGAUGCACCUGUUUCUCCCGUUCGGCCAACUGGACCUUGGUCACCCCGAGGCCCACGAAGUCCUUCUUUACCAGCAGCACCAGGGGGACCAGGAGGGCCAGUGAUACCCUGUGAGCAAAUGGCAAGGUCUUUUAUUCCCAGUUAGUCAUCACAGACCUGGGAGAUCCAGGUAUUAAGAUGUGAGGCAAUAGAAAUGAUACCCUGGCCAUUUGGGGGACAUGUGGAGGGUUUGUAAUAGCCUCUUAUGGAGAGAAGUAGCUCCCAUCCUCUUUCACCUGAGGUUAUGACAAAGUGAAUAACUGAGGCAGAGGCUAUGGCAAAUGUCUGUGAGGAAAAGCAAGGCCGUGCUACCAGGAACCUGGCAUAUUGGAAUCAGAACGAGGUAGAGUCAGAAGAGUUAGCUGUCAAUGAAUGGGACUUUGGGUUUUGGAGGACUCUGCUCAUCUCUUUUUGAAGAAAGCCAAUACUGGCAUUUUGUUCAUAAUUGAGGAAUCACAUAUGCUCUCAACUAGGUUUAAUUAAAUGCCUACAGGGAAUGAAGAUUUUUCUGUUAUGAACCUGUAAAAGGAUUCCAAGAAAUCAACAUCUUUGCGAUUUUUUUUCCCUGAAACCUUAACCGGAAGACUUAAUCCUUGGUAAUUAAUUAAAUUCUCUUGAGUCCUGACAGGAGAGUCUGAAUCAGAAUUAAAUUAGAGGCCAAGCCACCUUUAAAUUCAGGAACAAUUAUACUUUAACAACGGAGGCAGAAUGUUGGCCAUAAAGGGUAAUUAGAUAUAGAAAUAUCUGAUAUGUGACUCAAACUGUUCUGUUUUUUUUUUAAUUUUUAACAAAGAGACCAUGCCCCUAAAAAAGGGACUUGUGUUUACAUGAAUAAAAGCCUCUUAAGCUGA